AGAGAGGCAGCCAAUCAGAAAGUGGGCGCGUGUUGGCGGGCGGGAGGACGCGGGCCCGCGCGCGCGCGAACAGGAGAGGCUGUCGGUGACGUCACCUCGCAGCAGCCCGCGGAAACCCAACGGGAUUACAACGAGGACAGGCGGUGCUAUUUAAACGGACACGCGUCUGACCGUUGGCUCGCGUUACUUUUCAGACUCGGAGCUCCGUGACGCACGUCUGUGUGGUCGUGGCUGGCGAACUGCUCAGCGCAUCACCGGGGAUCUCGAAAGCAAUCGGCGUCCGAGUCAGGCGGUGACGCCUCCUGCAACAUGAGCUGAGCCCUGAAAUACAAAGUGUCACUUUCACUUCUCAAAGCUGAGAGGGCAAGUCCUGUGCUGUGACAAGUGAAUCCUCCGGUGGCCCAAAGCUCUGAUCGCGCACAUCGAAUAAGAGGACAAGAAACUGACGUGCGAGGCCGCGACUCAUCGACAGGACUUUGCUGCUGGAGUGUCUUCAGUAAAUGUUCCACUCGAUGGCCAAAGGGUUCAUUAAGUCUGCUGUACCAACGAUUCACCAAUCAAAACGCAGUACUUCCUAGAGCCCGCCCCCUUGACUUUGAUGAGUGAAGUGACAGUUUUCAUCUCCAGGCGUAUUUUAUGUUGCUUGGUGUGUCAAUGAAAUAAACAAAUGAAAACAGAAUUAAAUGUAUACAAAGAUGA
This is a long non-coding RNA of Polypterus senegalus (gray bichir), 699 nucleotides long. RefSeq lists it as uncharacterized. NCBI's taxonomy places the organism in Eukaryota, Metazoa, Chordata, Cladistia, Polypteriformes, Polypteridae. The record is from RefSeq and is a predicted model, not a curated record. The transcript has 2 exons.